Molecule: ribosomal RNA, 270 nt
Filed under: uncultured bacterium
Lineage: Bacteria
Description: partial 16S ribosomal RNA
Rfam family: Bacterial small subunit ribosomal RNA
Source: RNAcentral
AGAGUUUGAUCCUGGCUCGGGACGAACGCUGGCGGCGUGCCUAACACAUGCAAGUCGAGCGGAGACAGUGAGUAGCUUGCUAUGAGCUGUUUUAGCGGCGGACGGGUGAGUAACGCGUGAGCAACCUUUCCCAGACAGGGGAAUAACACACCGAAAGGUGUACUAAUACCGCAUAAGACCACGGGGUCACAUGGUUCUGGGGUAAAAGAUUUAUCGGUUUGGGGUGGGCUCGCGUCCGAUUAGGUAGUUGGUGAGGUAACGGCCCACCAA